AGCUAGUUGGUGAGGUAAUGGCUCACCAAGGGCGACGAUCCCCUAGCUGGUUUUGAGAGGAUGAUCAGCCACACUGGAACUGAGACACGGUCCAGACUCCUACGGGAGGCAGCAGUGGGGAAUAUUGGACAAUGGGCGCAAGCCUGAUCCAGCCAUGCCGCGUGUGUGAAGAAGGCCCUUCGGGUUGUAAAGCACUUUCAGCGAGGAGGAAGGGUUGUGUGUUAAUAGCACAUAGCCUUGACGUUACUCGCAGAAGAAGCACCGGCUAACUCUGUG
This 276-nucleotide ribosomal RNA is filed under the name uncultured bacterium. RNAcentral describes it as "partial 16S ribosomal RNA". It matches the Rfam family "Bacterial small subunit ribosomal RNA", at positions 243 to 507 of the family's 1533-position model. The record is from RNAcentral.